Molecule: ribosomal RNA, 253 nt
Filed under: uncultured bacterium
Lineage: Bacteria
Description: partial 16S ribosomal RNA
Rfam family: Bacterial small subunit ribosomal RNA
Source: RNAcentral
UACGGGGGGGGCAAGCGUUGUUCGGAAUUACUGGGCGUAAAGGCUCGUAGGCGGCCAACUAAGUCAGACGUGAAAUCCCUCGGCUUAACCGGGGAACUGCGUCUGAUACUGGAUGGCUUGAGUGUGGGAGAGGAAUGCGGAAUUCCAGGUGUAGCGGUGAAAUGCGUAGAUAUCUGGAGGAACACCGGUGGCGAAGGCGGCAUUCUGGACCAUUACUGACGCUGAGGAGCGAAAGCCAGGGGAGCAAAGCGGG